RNAcentral lists this long non-coding RNA (349 nucleotides) under Bos taurus (domestic cattle). RNAcentral's name for it is "long non-coding RNA NONBTAT019694". Lineage: Eukaryota; Metazoa; Chordata; Mammalia; Artiodactyla; Bovidae. The record is from RNAcentral.
UAGGUAACAAAUAACCAUGAGUGAUUCUCAUAACUCAAUACGCACUAUGGUAAGAACCACUACAACAGCAUGUAUUCAUUCUGAGUCCCAAUUCAAUUUUAAAAGAACCUGUAGAUAUUGUCAAUGUAAUGAGUUAAAUAACCGAUGUGCACCAAAAAGAGGGAAUGGAUAACCUAAAGGGUAUUAUCCUCUAUGAAAAAAAUCUCUGUGGAUAUUAUUCUAAGAUACUGGUAUAACUUUCAUUAAAUGAUCUUUUGGUCUUUAUAAAAAUUAUUUGAAAAGUCUGAAAAUAAUGUACUACAACAUAAAGCUUGCUUCUGAAAGUAACUAGAUUCUAUAUUCAGGUAUA